Molecule: ribosomal RNA, 450 nt
Filed under: uncultured Glomeromycotina
Lineage: Eukaryota; Fungi; Glomeromycota
Description: SSU rRNA
Rfam family: Eukaryotic small subunit ribosomal RNA
Source: RNAcentral
AGCAGCCGCGGUAAUUCCAGCUCCAAUAGCGUAUAUUAAAGUUGUUGCAGUUAAAAGGCUCGUAGUUGAAUUUCGGGACCAAUUUGUUGGUCGUGCCUCGGUACGUACUGGUAUUAUUGGUUUCUCCCUUCUGAAGAACCUCGAUGCCAUUAAUUUGGUGUCGUGGGGAAUCAGGACUGUUACUUUGAAAAAUUAGAGUGUUUAAAGCAAGCAUACGCUUGAAUACAUUAGCAUGGAAUAAUGAAAUAGGACGUUUGAUUCUAUUUUGUUGGUUUCUAGGAUCGACGUAAUGAUUAAUAGGGAUAGUUGGGGGCAUUAGUAUUCAAUUGUCAGAGGUGAAAUUCUUGGAUUUAUUGAAGACUAACUACUGCGAAAGCAUUUGCCAAGGAUGUUUUCAUUAAUCAAGAACGAAAGUUAGGGGAUCGAAGACGAUCAGAUACCGUCGUAGUC